Cygnus olor (mute swan) is the source of this 584-nucleotide long non-coding RNA. RefSeq lists it as uncharacterized. NCBI's taxonomy places the organism in Eukaryota, Metazoa, Chordata, Aves, Anseriformes, Anatidae. The transcript is spliced from 5 exons. The record is from RefSeq and is a predicted model, not a curated record.
CUCAGCCCAAGACACUGUUCUUUGUCUCCAGACGUGAAAGCAAUGGGUCUUUAGUCUGGAAAGCAAUCUUAUUGUCCAAGAUGGUCUCUUGGGAACUGUUAAAGUUGUAUGACAUGGGAAGAAUUUCCAUUUUGCAGUGCAAAUGGACCUGCCGCAACAAUCCAGUGAGACUGGUAACUCAAGCAGCACUAAAGGAAAGUACAAGUCCUCAUCUGGUUGUCGGACCGAGCUUAGGAAACCAGCGUGUUACUUUCAUCUGCUGAGAAAAGCUGCCCACUGCCUCCCUGGCAGCACCCAGCGGGCUCCCAGCUCAUGAAUGGUGUGGACAUGCCGGCAUCCGCGUAGUGCAGGAGUUGCUCCCCAGGCUGCAUCUGACCCUACGGCAAUGGUGCACAAGGUUAUUCCACAAAAAAGCAGAAAGAACACAUGAGAGUGGACAACAAUAGGCCAGCAAUCACAAUGCUGCUCCUGAUCUUACUGUGGACAGCAAAGGUCUUUAGUUUGACAACUCCAUGAAUGAAAAAUAUGUUUCUUCAGACAAGCAUGCUUAUCUUCAGACAAACAUAGGAUCUAUUUCUUUAAAG